GAGGAAUAUUGGUCAAUGGGCGCAAGCCUGAACCAGCCAAGUAGCGUGCAGGAAGACGGCCCUAUGGGUUGUAAACUGCUUUUAUACGAGAAUAAUUUGAUGCACGUGUGCGUUAUUGCAUGUAUCGUAUGAAUAAGGACCGGCUAAUUCCGUGCCAGCAGCCGCGGUAAUACGGAAGGUCCAGGCGUUAUCCGGAUUUAUUGGGUUUAAAGGGAGUGUAGGCGGUUUGUUAAGCGUGUUGUGAAAUUUAGGUGCUCAACAUUUAACUUGCAGCGCGAACUGUCAGACUUGAGUACACGCAACGUAUGCGGAAUUCUUGGUGUAGCGGUGAAAUGCUUAGAUAUCAUGAAGAACUCCGAUUGCGAAGGCAGCAUACGGGAGUGUAACUGACGCUUAAGCUCGAAGGUGCGGGUAUCGAACAGGAUUAGAUACCCUGGUAGUCCGCACAGUAAACGAUGGAUGCCCGCUGUUAGCGCCUGGCGUUAGCGGCUAAGCGAAAGCAUUAAGCAUCCCACCUGGGGAGUACGCCGGCAACGGUG
RNAcentral lists this ribosomal RNA (539 nucleotides) under uncultured bacterium. Its description in RNAcentral is "bacterial SSU rRNA". It matches the Rfam family "Bacterial small subunit ribosomal RNA", at positions 356 to 896 of the family's 1533-position model. The record is from RNAcentral.